Molecule: non-coding RNA, 128 nt
Organism: Alphaproteobacteria bacterium MedPE-SWcel
Lineage: Bacteria; Pseudomonadati; Pseudomonadota; Alphaproteobacteria
Source: Rfam
ACCGACAGGACCUUGGCAAUAUAGGGGAUCAACGGCAGGUUCAGCACAAGGAGAACGAGAUUGCCGAUAUACAUCGAGAUGAUGACAGCCCAGAAGAUGUGAGGACUGUCGAUCAUCAGGCGCGGCCC